CGUCAUUGGGGAGUAGCCGCCCGCCCGGAACACCGGCGGGGACCACGUCAACAUCCUUGGCCGGCAGGCCAUGGCGUGGCCAGCGCAAAGCCUGGCAAGACCUUUGACCAUGCAACCUCCGCAACGGCCGGGGAGGCGCAUGGUCAUG
This 148-nucleotide small RNA is filed under the name Pseudomonas citronellolis. Its description in RNAcentral is "yybP-ykoY manganese riboswitch". It matches the Rfam family "Manganese Mn2+ riboswitch aptamer (yybP-ykoY)", at positions 7 to 153 of the family's 177-position model. Rfam says of the family: This RNA was originally discovered in E. coli during a large scale screen and was named SraF. The family was later found to exist upstream of related families of protein genes in many bacteria, including the the yybP and ykoK genes in B. subtilis. The record is from RNAcentral. Lineage: Bacteria; Pseudomonadati; Pseudomonadota; Gammaproteobacteria; Pseudomonadales; Pseudomonadaceae.